This 373-nucleotide ribosomal RNA is filed under the name uncultured bacterium. Its description in RNAcentral is "bacterial SSU rRNA". It matches the Rfam family "Bacterial small subunit ribosomal RNA", at positions 527 to 898 of the family's 1533-position model. The record is from RNAcentral.
GGGGGGGGCAAGCGUUGUUCGGAAUUACUGGGCGUAAAGGGCUCGUAGGUGGCCAAUUAAGUCAGACGUGAAAUCCCCAGGCUCAACUUGGGAACUGCGUCUGAUACUGGUUGGCUUGAAUUCGGGAGAGGGAUGCAGAAUUCCAGGUGUAGCGGUGAAAUGCGUAGAUAUCUGGAGGAAUACCGGUGGCGAAGGCGGCAUCCUGGACCGAGAUUGACACUGAAAAGCGAAAGCCAGGGGAGCAAACGGGAUUAGAUACCCCGGUAGUCCUGGCCCUAAACGAUGAAUGCUUGGUGUGACGGGUAUCGAUCCCUGUCGUGCCGAAGCUAACGCAUUAAGCAUUCCGCCUGGGGAGUACGGUCGCAAGGCUGAA